Molecule: ribosomal RNA, 1516 nt
Filed under: Escherichia coli
Lineage: Bacteria; Pseudomonadati; Pseudomonadota; Gammaproteobacteria; Enterobacterales; Enterobacteriaceae
Description: partial 23S ribosomal RNA
Rfam family: Bacterial large subunit ribosomal RNA
Source: RNAcentral
AGACCCGAAACCCGGUGAUCUAGCCAUGGGCAGGUUGAAGGUUGGGUAACACUAACUGGAGGACCGAACCGACUAAUGUUGAAAAAUUAGCGGAUGACUUGUGGCUGGGGGUGAAAGGCCAAUCAAACCGGGAGAUAGCUGGUUCUCCCCGAAAGCUAUUUAGGUAGCGCCUCGUGAAUUCAUCUCCGGGGGUAGAGCACUGUUUCGGCAAGGGGGUCAUCCCGACUUACCAACCCGAUGCAAACUGCGAAUACCGGAGAAUGUUAUCACGGGAGACACACGGCGGGUGCUAACGUCCGUCGUGAAGAGGGAAACAACCCAGACCGCCAGCUAAGGUCCCAAAGUCAUGGUUAAGUGGGAAACGAUGUGGGAAGGCCCAGACAGCCAGGAUGUUGGCUUAGAAGCAGCCAUCAUUUAAAGAAAGCGUAAUAGCUCACUGGUCGAGUCGGCCUGCGCGGAAGAUGUAACGGGGCUAAACCAUGCACCGAAGCUGCGGCAGCGACACUGUGUGUUGUUGGGUAGGGGAGCGUUCUGUAAGCCUGUGAAGGUGUGCUGUGAGGCAUGCUGGAGGUAUCAGAAGUGCGAAUGCUGACAUAAGUAACGAUAAAGCGGGUGAAAAGCCCGCUCGCCGGAAGACCAAGGGUUCCUGUCCAACGUUAAUCGGGGCAGGGUGAGUCGACCCCUAAGGCGAGGCCGAAAGGCGUAGUCGAUGGGAAACAGGUUAAUAUUCCUGUACUUGGUGUUACUGCGAAGGGGGGACGGAGAAGGCUAUGUUGGCCGGGCGACGGUUGUCCCGGUUUAAGCGUGUAGGCUGGUUUUCCAGGCAAAUCCGGAAAAUCAAGGCUGAGGCGUGAUGACGAGGCACUACGGUGCUGAAGCAACAAAUGCCCUGCUUCCAGGAAAAGCCUCUAAGCAUCAGGUAACAUCAAAUCGUACCCCAAACCGACACAGGUGGUCAGGUAGAGAAUACCAAGGCGCUUGAGAGAACUCGGGUGAAGGAACUAGGCAAAAUGGUGCCGUAACUUCGGGAGAAGGCACGCUGAUAUGUAGGUGAAGUCCCUCGCGGAUGGAGCUGAAAUCAGUCGAAGAUACCAGCUGGCUGCAACUGUUUAUUAAAAACACAGCACUGUGCAAACACGAAAGUGGACGUAUACGGUGUGACGCCUGCCCGGUGCCGGAAGGUUAAUUGAUGGGGUCAGCGCAAGCGAAGCUCUUGAUCGAAGCCCCGGUAAACGGCGGCCGUAACUAUAACGGUCCUAAGGUAGCGAAAUUCCUUGUCGGGUAAGUUCCGACCUGCACGAAUGGCGUAAUGAUGGCCAGGCUGUCUCCACCCGAGACUCAGUGAAAUUGAACUCGCUGUGAAGAUGCAGUGUACCCGCGGCAAGACGGAAAGACCCCGUGAACCUUUACUAUAGCUUGACACUGAACAUUGAGCCUUGAUGUGUAGGAUAGGUGGGAGGCUUUGAAGUGUGGACGCCAGUCUGCAUGGAGCCGACCUUGAAAUACCACCCUUUAA